UACGGAGGAUCCGAGCGUUAUCCGGAUUUAUUGGGUUUAAAGGGUGCGCAGGCGGGAGAUUAAGUCGGCGGUGAAAUUUUGCAGAUCAACUGUAAAAGUGCCUUCGAAACUGGUUUCCUUGAGUGUGGAUGAAGUAGGCGGAAUUUGUGGUGUAGCGGUGAAAUGCAUAGAUAUCACGGGGAACUCCGAUUGCGCAGGCAGCUUACUAAGCCAUAACUGACGCUCAGGCGCGAAAGCGUGGGGAGCAAACAGGAUUAGAUACCCUGGUA
Molecule: ribosomal RNA, 269 nt
Filed under: uncultured prokaryote
Description: partial 16S ribosomal RNA
Rfam family: Bacterial small subunit ribosomal RNA
Source: RNAcentral